AACUAUACAUUUGAAAAAAAAUAAUGUUAAAACGUGUUAAAUAUAAAAAAAAAUUAUAUGAAGUUAGGCCGUUACGCGCGAAUUAUAUUAUUUUUUCGUUUUGCGUCUAUGAUUAUUAUUAAUAAUAAUAUAUAUAUUUUUUUAUGUAGGUCUACAGGUGAAGAAUUGCGAUCGUAAUAUUAAUUAUCAACGCAAGAUGAACGCGAUAAUAAACAGCAAUAUUACGGCGACAUAUAAUCAUUAUCAACAACAGCUACGUCACAACAACAACAACAACAACAAUAACAUAAAUGGGUUUUGCAGACUGCAAAAUAUACACGGAGUAGCAAGCCUCGGAAGAUACUCAACAAUUAUGAAAUACUUUUACGACGAUGACAACGUUUAAUGGAUAACACUCCGAUAUUGUCCUGUCACAGCAGUAAUGUCACUUAUUCGAAUUGUACUGCUGUCGCGGGACAUUUUCGGAGCUGUCAUCCAUCUCUCAAUGACGUUUACCAAAAAUACCAUACGAACAUCACCAUAAUCGCAACAACGCAAUUCAGAGUAGAAGAAAAUAAAUAACAAUUUUUUUUUUUUAAUUUCUUCGUUUAUUUUUUAUUAUUAAUAUGUGAAAUAUUUGUAUUUUGUUUUGAUAAAAUAAUUUUUAUUUUACAUUAAAAUGGGAUUUUACUAUAUUUUCUCAAUACACAAUUAA
Molecule: long non-coding RNA, 694 nt
Organism: Aphis gossypii (cotton aphid)
Lineage: Eukaryota; Metazoa; Arthropoda; Insecta; Hemiptera; Aphididae
Exons: 2
Source: RefSeq, a predicted model, not a curated record